CGUGGGUAACCUGCCUGUAAGACUGGGAUAACUCCGGGAAACCGGGGCUAAUACCGGAUGCUUGAUUGAACCGCAUGGUUCAAUUAUAAAAGGUGGCUUUUAGCUACCACUUACAGAUGGACCCGCGGCGCAUUAGCUAGUUGGUGAGGUAACGGCUCACCAAGGCGACGAUGCGUAGCCGACCUGAGAGGGUGAUCGGCCACACUGGGACUGAGACACGGCCCAGACUCCUACGGGAGGCAGCAGUAGGGAAUCUUCCGCAAUGGACGAAAGUCUGACGGAGCAACGCCGCGUGAGUGAUGAAGGUUUUCGGAUCGUAAAACUCUGUUGUUAGGGAAGAACAAGUACCGUUCGAACAGGGCGGUACCUUGACGGUACCUAACCAGAAAGCCACGGCUAACUACGUGCCAGCAGCCGCGGUAAUACGUAGGUGGCAAGCGUUGUCCGGAAUUAUUGGGCGUAAAGCGCGCGCAGGCGGUUUCUUAAGUCUGAUGUGAAAGCCCCCGGCUCAACCGGGGAGGGUCAUUGGAAACUGGGGAACUUGAGUGCAGAAGAGGAGAGUGGAAUUCCACGUGUAGCGGUGAAAUGCGUAGAGAUGUGGAGGAACACCAGUGGCGAAGGCGACUCUCUGGUCUGUAACUGACGCUGAGGCGCGAAAGCGUGGGGAGCGAACAGGAUUAGAUACCCUGGUAGUCCACGCCGUAAACGAUGAGUGCUAAGUGUUAGAGGGUUUCCGCCCUUUAGUGCUGCAGCAAACGCAUUAAGCACUCCGCCUGGGGA
Molecule: ribosomal RNA, 780 nt
Filed under: Bacillus sonorensis
Lineage: Bacteria; Bacillati; Bacillota; Bacilli; Caryophanales; Bacillaceae
Description: bacterial SSU rRNA
Rfam family: Bacterial small subunit ribosomal RNA
Source: RNAcentral